RNAcentral lists this long non-coding RNA (21965 nucleotides) under Eucalyptus grandis. RNAcentral describes it as "long non-coding RNA (EGRA_LNC002007)". The record is from RNAcentral. Lineage: Eukaryota; Viridiplantae; Streptophyta; Magnoliopsida; Myrtales; Myrtaceae.
UGCCUUUGCCGAUUCUUUAUUCGUCCUACGCCGUCGUUUUCUCUCAUUCUUUUUCAGCCACUUCUCAUCCAUUACCUCCAACUCAAAUUCCCAUCCGGCCUCGAUCAUCGUCGAUCGUCAUCAGCACCGUGAAAUCAGUCAGGCGAACGGGACGGUGAGCAUGGAUGACGCGAACGCCGUCGAUGUCGCCGGAGUUCCGACUUCCACUCUCAAUCUUAUCGACCUCUCGAGCUCCGAUAUCCGACGGUCGGUGUCCCUGCUCAAACAGGUCUUCGAUUCUCCCGCCUUUUUCCGCUAUUUUCAGUUCGAUUUCCGGUGCAUGAAACCGAGGAAACCGAGGUUUUUUUGAGUCGAGAGGGACGCUGACGGAUGAAUCCAAUCCGUUGGCCUCAGGCGUGCUUGGAUUCCGGCUUUUUCUACGUGAUCAAUCAUGGAGUCAGCCAGGACUUGAUGGAGGAGGUGUUCGUCCAGAGCAGGCGGUUCUUCGGUCUGCCUUUGAGCGAGAAGAUGAAGCUGCUGAGGAACGAGAAGCACCGAGGCUACACUACUCUGUUCGAUCAGGUCCUCGCCGGCGUUCCGGUGAGGGGCGGCGGCGGGCGUCGGAGUUCCGGCGAGGGUGGACCGGCAGACGAGCGGAGCAGCGGGCAGCAGAGACCGGUGGAGCAGGGGCGCUCAAGCGAAGCAGUCGGCGUUCGGGCACCGGCGAGGGGGUGAGCAACGGCGUCGGGCAGCAGCUCCGGUGCGGCAGAUCGGGGACGGAGGUCGGCUGAGGCGCGGUGGGCUUCGUCGGGCUGAUGGAGCGGAUCGACGAGGCAGCAGCAGUUUCGCAGGGGCGACGGAGCUGAGCGCGGAUCGCGGGUCGUCGGGUCGCCGCGUCGACUGGCGGGGCCGCGGGAGCAGACGGGUCGCUGCGUCGACUGACGGAGCCGCGGGAGCAGAUGGAUUGUGGCGUCGACUGGACGUGGAGAAGCUCGGCGUCCAAGGGCGUCACGGGUCAGUCGGAGCGGGAGCAGGGGUGGCCGGCGGAAGUGCAGAGCAGCGGCGCGAGCUCGUGUGGAUCAGGGCAGAUCUGUUGGGCGUCGGAGAGCGCCGCGGUCGUCGGCGAAGGCUGAGGCGGAGCGACGAGACCGGUGGCGCAGCGCGACGGAGGCGCGGCGUCGGCGCGCGGCCGGUGCGGGCGCAAGGCCGGCACGAACAGGGCAGCUGCGGGAGGAAGAAGACGAUUCUCUCUCCUCUUUUUUUAUUAUUUUUUUUUCUCUCUCUCUCUCUCACGUCACUCACUGCCGCACGACGUGACUUUCUUCCCAAAAAAAAUUCAAAGAAAACCCUAGGAAAAGCCCCAAAACUUCCACACGUAUUUUGCCCUAAAAAAUUUCCGAAUUCCCCCUCCUUUGUCCGUACGCGAUCUCUUUUAUAGGCCAAAAAUUGGAUCUUCGUGAUAUAUUUUAUUUCUCAUUUUACUUGUGCAUAAUUCCCCUUAAUAUAUUGUUGCACCCCAAGUAAUAUUCUCUUUCGUAUUUUUCACAUAUUUCAUCCGAAAAUUUCCUUUAUGCUCGAGAAUAUGUCAUUUAGUGUAUAUUACAUGAAUAUGUGAAAAAUCUUGCCCUCACCAUCGGUCUAACAAAAUAACAUAAAUGUUUCUAAACUAUAUGUCAUGCGAUUUCUCUUUUUUGGGGUAAAAAUUAACCCAUUUUUGUUAAUGCAAAAAUUUAGGUGUCAACAUUGAUGUUUUGCCAGAUCUAGGUGAGGGUGAAGGAACGGGUAUUAUAAUUUUACAAUUUAAAGUCACCAUGACACGCACAAAGUUCACAUAAUUUUCUCCAUCAAACAUCAGCUUCAUUUCCAUGACAUAUUUCAUUUAAAUUAAUAAAUGAAAGGAUCACAAUUUUUUUUUUAAAUAUAUUACGAAUCUAGUUAGACCAAUUGAAAGUUGCGGGAAGAUAUUUCACAUCAAUCAAAUGUGAUUUAAUUGAAUUUAUUGAAAGUUCAAAUAUGACAUGAGGCAUGGAUAAAAUUUGACAGCUUAUUAGUAACAUCAUCUCUUCCAGCAAUAGGAAUUUUCCACGAGACACUUAAUAUUGCCCCUGUGAGAAGCUCACGACAAUUAUCACAAAACCUUUUGACAUUCGUGCUUUGGAGCAUUGAUCAAAGGUCCAUCUGUAUCCUCACAAAGUUGAAAGUAAGUGAAUGUGUAAACGUGAAGAAUGAGCCAUAGACAUGAUUGAGGGACAUGGUAUUGAACACUAAGAAAGGGUCGAAAUUAACGAACCAUCUAUUGAUGCAAUCAAAAGAGACUCUAUUCAUUAUGGAGAAGUUCAUCUUUUUAGCAUUUGUUGGUGUUUUGUUGGCUUCCCUAUUGAUGUUUUACUGGAUAUGGGCGAGGGCAAAGGAAUGGGUAGUAUCAUAAUUUUACAAUUUAAAGUCACCAUGACACGUACAAAGUCCACGUAAUUUUCUCCAUCAAACAUCAGCCUCAUUUCCAUUAGAUAUUUCAUUUAAAUUAAUAAAUGAAAAGAUGACAAAAAAACAUAUUAAAUAUAUUACGGAUCUAAUUAGACCAAUUGAAAGUUGUAGGAAGAUAUUUCACAUUAAUCAAAUGUGAUUUAAUUGAAUUAAUUGAAAGUUCAAAUAUGACAUGAAGUAUGGAUGAAUUUGGUAGACUAUAAGUAACCUUAUCUCUUUUGGCAGUAGGAACUUUCAAUUAGUCAACUUUCCACAAGACACUUGAUAUUGUCCGUGCGGGAAGGUCACGACAGUUAUCACAAAACCUUUUCACAUUCGUGCUUGGGAGCAUUGGUCAAAGGUCCAUUUAUACCCUCAAAAAGUUGAAAGUAAGUGUGAACGUGUAAAAGUGAAGAACAUGCCAUAGACGUGAUUGAGGGACAUUAGUCUUUCUUUACAUUGUUUUCUUUUUCUUUCUUAUGAUUGAGACAACCAUGUGGUAGGUUUUGGUAUUGAGCACUAAGAACAAGUUGAAAUUAGCAAACCGUCUAUUGAUGCAAUCAAAAGAGACUUUAUUCAUUAUGGAGAAGUUCAUCUUUUUAGCAUUUGUUGAUGUUCUAUUGGCUUUCCUAUUGAUGUUUCACCAGAUCUAGGCAAGGGCGAAGGAAUGGGUAUUAUAAUUUUACAAUUUAAAGUCACCAUGACUCGCAUAAAGUCCGGUAAUUUUCUCCAUCAAACAUCAACUUCAUUUCCAUGACAUAUUUCAUUUAAAUUAAUAAAUGAAAGGAUCACAAAAAACAUAUUAAAUAUAUCACGGAUCUAGUUAAACCAAUUGAAAGUUGUAAGAAGAUAUUUCACAUCAAUCAAAUGUGAUUUAAUUGACUUAAUUGAAAGUUCAAAUAUGACAUGAGGCAUGGAUAAAAUUUGAUAGAUUACUAGUAACAUUAUCUCUUCCAGCGAUAGGAACUUUCCGCGAGACACUUGAUAUUGCCCCUACGAGAAGGUCACGACAAUUAUCACAAAACCUUUUGACAUUCGUUCUUUGGAGCAUUGAUGAAAGGUCCAUUUGUAUCCUCACAAAGUUGAAAGUAAGUGUGAAUGUGUAAACGUGAAGAACGGGCUAUAGACAUGAUUGAGGGACAUCAUUUGAUAGUUAGUCUUUCUUUACAUUGUUUUCUUUUUCUUUUUUCUGAUUGAGACAACCAUUUGGUAGGUCUUGGUAUUGAACACUAAGAACAUAUCGAAAUUAGCGAACCAUCUAUUGAUGCAAUCAAAAGAGACUGUAUUUAUUAUGGAGAAGUUCAUCUUUUUAGCAUUUGUUGAUGUUCUGUUGGCUUCCCAAUUGAUGUUUUGCCGGAUAUGGGCACACACAAAGUUCGCGUAAUUUUCUCCAUAAAACAUCUCCAUUACAUAUUUCAUUUAAAUUAAUAAAUGAAAGGAUGACAAAAAAACAUAUUAAAUAUAUUACGGAUCUAAUUAGACCAAUUGAAAGUUGCAGGAGAUAUAUCGCAUUAAUCAAAUGUGAUUUAAUUGAAUUAAUUGAAAGUUCAAAUAUGACGUGAAGCAUGGAUAAAAUUUGAUAGACUACUAGUAAUAUUAUCUCUUUCCGGCCAAUGAGAACUUCUAAUUAGUCAACUUUCCACGAGACACUUGAUAUUGCCCCUACGGAAAGGUCAUGACAGUUGUCACAAAACCUUUUGAUAUUCGUGCUUUGGAGCAUUGGUCAAAGGUCCAUUUGUACCCUUACAAAGUUGAAAGUAAGUGUGAACGUGUAAACAUGAAGAACGGGCCAUAGACGUGAUUGAGGGACAUUAGUCUUUCUUUACAUUGUUUUCUUUUUCUUUCUUACGAUUGAGACAACCAUUUGGUAGGUUUUGGUAUUGAGCACUAAGAACAAGUCGAAAUUAGCGAACCGUCUAUUGAUGCAAUCAAAAGAGACUUUAUUCAUUAUGGAGAAGUUCAUCUUUUUAGCAUUUGUUGAUGCUCUAUUGGCUUUCCUAUUGAUGUUUCACUAGAUCUAGGCAAGGGCGAAGGAAUGGGUAUUAUAAUUUUACAAUUUAAAGUCACCAUGACUCGCACAAAGUCCGCGUAAUUUUCUCCAUCAAACAUCAGCUUCAUUUCCAUGACAUAUUUCAUUUAAAUUAAUAAAUGAAAGGAUCACAAAAAAACAUAUUAAAUAUAUCACGGAUCUAGUUAAACCAAUUGAAAGUUGUAGGAAGAUAUUUCACAUCAAUCAAAUGUGAUUUAAUUGACUUAAUUGAAAGUUCAAAUAUGACAUGAGGCAUGGAUAAAAUUUGAUAGAUUACUAGUAACAUUAUCUAUUCCAGCGGUAGGAACUUUCCGCAAGACACUUGAUAUUGCCCCUACGAGAAGGUCACAAUAAUUAUCACAAAACCUUUUGACAUUCGCUCUUUGGAGCAUUGAUGAAAGGUCCAUUUGUAUCCUCACAAAGUUGAAAGUAAGUGUGAAUGUGUAAACGUGAAGAACGGGCCAUAGACAUGAUUGAGGGACAUCAUUUGAUAGUUAGUCUUUCUUUACAUUGUUUUCUUUUUCUUUUUUCUGAUUGAGACAACCAUUUGGUAGGUUUUGGUGUUGAACGCUAAGAACAGGUCGAAAUUAGCAAACCGUUUGUUGAUGCAAUCAAAAGAGACUCUACUUAUUAUGGAGAAAUUAAUCUUUUUAGCAUUUGUUGAUGUUCUCUUGGCUUCCCAAUUGAUGUUUCGCCAAAUCUAGGUGAGGACAAAGGAACAGGUAUUGUAAUUUUACAAUUUAAAGUCAUCAGGACACGCACAAAGUCCGUGUAAUUUUCUCCAUCAAACAUCAACUUUAGAAAAUUGUUAUCCACGGCAUAUUUCAUUUAAAUUAAUAAAUGAAAGGAUGACAAAAAAAUUUAAAUAUAUUAUGGAUCCAAUAAGACCAAUUCAAAGUUGCGGGAAGGUAUUUCACAUUAAUAAAAAAUGAUUUAAUUGAAUUGAUUGAAAGUUCAAAAGGUCCAAAAGUUGGUGUGAAAGUAAGUGUGAACGUGAAGAGGGGGCCAUAGACAUCGUAGAGGGACAUCAUUUGAUGGUUAGUCUUUCUUUACAUUGUUUUCUUUUUCUUUUUUCUGAUUGAGACAAUCAUUUGGUAGGUUUUGGUGUUGACACAUGUCGAAAUUAGCGAACCGUCUAUUGAUGCAAUCAAAAGAGACUACUCGUUAUGGAGAAGUUUAUCUUUUUAGCAUUUGUUGAUGUUCUGUUGGCUCCCUUAUUGAUGUUUAAUUAGAUUUGGGCGAGGGCGAAGGAACAUAUUAUAAUUUUACAAUUUAAGGUCAUCAUGACAUGCAAAAAGUCCUUGUAAUUUUCUCCAUCAAACAUCAGCUUCACAAAAUUGUUAUCCAUGACAUAUUUCAUUUAAACUAAUAAAUGAAAGGAUGACAAAAAAAAAACAUAUUAAAUAUAUUACAUAUCUAAUUAGACCGAUUGAAAGUUGCGGGAAGAUAUUUCACAUUAAUCAAAAGUGGUUUAAUUGAAUUGAUUGAAAGUUCAAAUAUGACAUGAACAUUGGAUAAAGAUUUGAUAGACUACUAAUGACAUUAUCUCUUCUAGAAGUAGGAACUUUCAAUUAGUCAACUCCCCACAAGACACUUGAUAUUGCCUUUGCGAGAAAGUCACAACAGUUAUCACAAAGCCUUUUCACAUUCAUGCCUUGGAGCAUUGGUCCAAAGGUCCAUUUGCACACUCACAAAGUUAAAAGUAGGUGUGAAGGUGAAAAUGUAAAGAACAAGCCAUAGACGUGAUUGGGGGACAUCGUUUGAUAGUUAGUCUUUCUUUACAUUGUUUUUCCCCUAAUCAAGACAACCAUUUGAUAAGUUUUGGUAUUAAAUACUAAGAACAUGUCGAAAGUAGUGAACCAUCUAUUGAUGCAAUCAAAAGAGACUUGGUUCAUUAUGGAGAAAUUCAUCUUUUUAGCAUUUAUUGAUGUUUUGUUGGCUUCCAUAUUGAUGUUUCAACCUGUCAUCUGUUCUAGUAACUUCACUGAUCAAGAGGCUCUCCUCCACUUCAAAUCAACGAUGGAAGUCGACCCGACAAACACCAUCAAAGGUGGCAAUUGGACCAUGGAAGCAAAUUUCUGUGAAUGGAUUGGUGUCGUUUGCAGCAACCGCAGGCAGAGAGUCAUAGCUUUAGACCUCUCACACAUGGGUCUCCAGGGAAGGCUCUCUCCCUACCUUGGCAAUCUUUCUCUCUUGGCUUCUCUUGAUCUCCGCAACAACAGUUUUUAUGGCAUGAUUCUGAUAGAAAUUAGUCAUUUACGCCGCCUGAAAGAACUUAUACUCGAAUCGAACCAGUUCGAAGGGAAUAUUCCUCCUAUCUUAACCCAAUGCCAGAACCUCGAAGUCAUGUCACUUGCGACGAACAAACUAACGGGUGGUAUACCAAGAGAAUUUGGUGGCUUCCCUAAGUUGCAACAACUGAAUCUUAGCUCGAACGACUUACGGGGUCAAAUUCCAAGCUUCCUGGGCAACAUAACCACAUUGCGAGUCAUUAUACUGGCCAAUGCUACUCUCACAGGUUCAAUUCCUUCAGCACUUUUCAAUAGAUCACUCACGUGGGUCAAUUUGACGGAUAAUUAUCUCUCUGGAAGUCUUCCCUCCGAUCUUUGCUAUCACUGGCCUAACAUUCAGAUUCUUUCACUGCGUCAAAAUCAAUUUAGCGGCCUGCUACCAGAGACGCUAACCCAAUGCAAAGAGCUUAUCAUAUUGUGGUUGUCAUACAAUCAAUUUCAGGGAAGCAUUCCUCGAGAUAUAGGCAGCUUGCAAAAGCUGCAAAAGCUCUAUAUUGCUGUUAACAACUUGACUGGCACGAUUCCUCAAACCAUUGGUAACAUGUCGAGCUUGCACAACGUAGAAAUAGGAGCUAGCCCCAUUGAAGGGGAGAUUCCAAGCGAGAUUGGCAAUUUGGUCAAUUUGCAAACACUAGCCCUUUCGGAAAAUUUUCUAACCGGCGAAGUGCCUCAAGAGGUUUUUAAUAUUUCUUCGCUCAAGGUGCUUGAUUUGUCGGAAAAUUCCCUCUCUGGAAGCCUUCCCUCAGGUAGAGAUCUAAGCCUUUCAAAUUUGGAAGAACUAUAUCUAGCAAGCAAUGGCUUUGGCAGCAACAUCCCGCAAAGUUUCUCGAAUUUUUCAAACCUAAUCCUUUUGGAUGUCGAGGACAAUCAACUCAGCGGCUCCAUACCUACAGGUUUGGGCAACUUGAAGAACCUCGAAUCCCUUUCAAUUGGGUCUAAUCAGCUAACAGGAGAGACUUACGGUUCAGAGCUCGGUUUUCUCUCUGCUUUAUCUAAUUGUCCAUUGCUGCGAUACUUGAGGUUGGGAGGCAACCCGCUUCAUGGCUUCAUACCAGAAUCUAUCAAAAACUUCUCCAGUUCCCUACAAAUUCUAAGUGCUCCCAAUUGUCAAAUAAGAGGUCGUAUUCCCAAGGAAAUGGGAUUCUUGAAGAGAUUGAUAUUCAUAAGGUUGAGCAAUAAUUCUCUAGACUACAGUAUCCCAUCAUCGAUCGGAGGCCUUGAAAGGUUGCAAAGGCUAUAUCUUGAUAACAAUCUUCUCGAAGGACUGAUCCCCAGUGAGAUUUGCAACUUGACAGGUUUAGGAGAGUUGCUGCUCCAGCAAAACAGGAUAUCAGGAUCAAUCCCAAAUUGCAUUGAAAACCUUAGCAGCCUUCAAAAGUUUCUCAUAAGCUCGAAUAACAUGACAUCGGUUAUACCAGUUAGUCUGUGGGGCCUUCAAGAACUCAUCUUCCUAAAUCUGUCACUCAAUUCUUUCAAUGGAGGACUACCACUUGAAAUAGGGAAGAUGAGAGCUAUAGAGAGCAUCGAUCUUUCUUGGAACCGACUUACUGGUGCCAUACCGAGUUCCAUCCAAGAGUUUGAGAGCCUUGCUUCUCUCAACUUGUCAAGGAACUCGUUUCAAGGAUCGAUACCGCAAUCGAUCGGUCAUCUUAAAGGAUUGGAAUUCCUCGAUCUCUCCUACAAUGAGUUAUCAGGCACAAUACCUGAGUCCUUGGAAGCACUUGCAUAUCUACAAGUUUUGAACUUGUCCUUUAAUAAGCUAUCAGGAGAGAUUCCUAAUGGCGGGUCCUUUAAAAAUUUCUUGGCUCUCUCUUUCAUUGGAAAUGAAGCACUUUGUGGAAAUGCAAUUUUUCAAGUCGCACGUUGCAAACUAAAUGGGAGAUCAUCAAGGGACAAGCGGCUCCAUAUACUAUACAUUAUUGUGCCAAUUGCAUCAGCUAUAAUUUUAGUCCUUGUCAUUUGCUUGCUUAGAAAGCGUGGGAAUACUAGUGAAAAAGCUUCAAUUUCGAUGGUGAACUUGCCUAGAAUUAACCAUCCAAUGAUACCAUAUCAGGAGCUUUGUUUGGCCACUAACAACUUUAGCGAAAGCAAUUUGCUCGGAGCAGGAAGCUUUAGCUCUGUAUAUAAAGGGACUCUGGCCAACGGGACAGACAUUGCAGUCAAAGUACUAAAUCUCCAUAUCGAAGGUGCUCUGAAAAGUUUUGAUGCAGAAUGCAACGCUUUCCGUAUGAUCCGGCACCGCAAUCUCGUCAAGGUGAUAAGCUCUUGCACAAACGCCAAUCUGAGAGCUUUGGUGUUGCAAUACGUGCCUUGUGGGAGCUUGGAGAAGUGGCUGUACUCCAACAACUACAACUUGGAUCUCCAUCAGCGAGUGAAGAUAAUGGUCGAUGUCGCAACAGCGAUCGAGUAUCUCCACCAUGGCCAACUAGAACCCAUUGUGCACUGCGAUCUGAAGCCUAGCAAUAUUCUUCUAAAUGAGGACCUGGUUGCACAAGUUUGCGACUUUGGAAUUACCAAGAUUUUGGCUGAGAACAAGCUUGAAACACAAACCCGAACUCUCGGCACGAUUGGUUACAUUGCUCCAGGUACAUUUGUCGAAUAUUAGCUAAUUCAAGCCUUUGAUUGCCAAUAUAACAGUAUAAUGUAAUAGAGAUAUAUUAGCACUCAUUUGCCUCUUGAUCUUAUUACUUAUGUCCCAAAAAGAAAUAUAUCAAUCACCGAUGUUCUUAUGUCACAAACUAUGAUGCUUGCAGAGUAUGGUUCGGAAGGAAAAGUCUCGACAAGGGGAGAUGUCUAUAGCUUUGGCAUAUUGUUGUUGGAAGUGAUUAUUGGGAAGAAGCCAACCGGUGAAAUGUUCAAUGCGGAUAUCAACUUGAGGCAAUGGGUAGGUGCAGCAAUUCCGGAGAGAGUGCUUGACAUUGUGGAUAGCAAAAUCCUUUGCAUGAAACAUGAAGAUCUUACGCUUUCGAAAUUCAAUAGCAUAGUCUUAUUGAUACUAGAGUUAGGACUAGAAUGUUCAAAGGACUUGCCCGAGGAAAGAAUGGACAUGAAAAGUGCCGUGGUUAAGCUCAACAAGAUCAAGUUGUCACUUCCUUGACAAGAAAACAAGGCCAAGAGCAGCUUAGAGAAUUUCAACAUAGCACUUUAUAUUUUGUACUCAAUAAUUUCAUUUCUAUUGCAUUGUGUGUACGAUUCUGCAAGAUAGUUCCUAAUCUUCUUUUAAGCUUUUUGAAUAAGAGGAAAACAAUUCCAAAUGCGAUUAGAUCGACAAUUGAAAGUCUAACUCAUGUCCAACUUCAGAAGGUGUAGCAGCUGCCAUGUUCUCUACGCAAAAAGUUUUAUUUAAGAGUUGGUAGAUUUACCGGUGAGGAACAUUGUUUCCUUGAAGGUCGACAUCUUCUCGCGUCACACUAGGCACAUCACAUGAGCCUUGCAUGUCAAGUUGGGCAGGGCCAGGCCUUUUCGACUCGCACGCCAAGCCUUGGCCCGGUACCUAUUUGGGCCAAUUUUGACCCCUUUUCUGUUUUAAAAAUUUCCUUUUAAUUUUAUAAAAAAUACUUAUAAUUUAUUUUAAUCCAACAAAAGAUUAUUUUAACUUUUCCAUAUUAAAAUCGUAAAGGGAAAUCAGACUAAGUGGAACAUACAAUAGCUUGGCCUUAAAAAAGUAAAUAUAGUUAUCAUGCCCACAUUACACGCCUAUACGGUCAUCUUCAUUCCCUAUGCAACGUCAUGAUGGAUUAUCCUUUCAAUUGCACGGAGAAAUAAAAAAGUUGAAGGUCAUUUUCUAUUGUUAUAAUUCUUUUCCAAGAGGCAAACAUCAAGUAAUAUCUUCUUAUUCUUUCAAUGAUUAAAACAAACAUUUAUUCAAGGGCACUAUAGAAAUGAUGAAAUAUAAUAGGCCUUUUCUUUAUCUAUUAUCUCUUUCUUUGGCCUGUUUUCCAAUGUUCUCUCUCAAGUUUAAUUAUAUUAAAAUAUUAAAGUAAUACAUAACCGAGGGCUAAAUGAAAAUCAAAAAGUGAGAUAAACCCAUUUUUGACUUAAAUAUGUAGAUGAAGCGCAUUUUUUGUUUUGAUUGGCAAAAAAAAAAAAUUUAUACAAUACAAAGAGAGAAAAAUACUAAAAAAGUCAUAAAACUAUUGCAAUUGUGUCAAUUCAAUCGUAAACCUAUUUUUUUUUGUCAAUUAAGUCAUAAACCUUUUAUAAUUGUGCUAAUUUAGUCCAUCCGGCCAAAAUUGACUGGCAAGCACUGAUGUGGCUGCCGGCGAUAAUUUUUUAAGAAUAUUUUAUUAAUCUUUUUUUUUCCUCCUUCCUCUUCCCUCCUCCUCUUUCCUUCUUCCUUUGGCUACAACGACUGGACGGAGGGGAGGGCUGUUUAAUAUUGGACAGUCCAAGAUAGGAGUGUCAUCAGUUUGGUUGAUAUCUGACCCGAGUUGAAACACUAUAGAAUCGACCUAAGACCCAAAUGGCAUAUAAUCUUAGGAAUUGGCGACUUUUUAUUAGUUUCAUUUUUUUUCUUCCUUAACGAAGUGAACCCAAUGACAAAAAUUUUCAUUUAUAACUGUAAAAUAAAAUAAAUAAUAAAAAGUUCAGAGCAUGCAACCACAAUUCAUUGAUUCUCAAUUCUCGAUUCUACGAUCUGGUUUUGACCCAGAAAUUGGGAAUUGAACCGCACGGUACCAGUUUCAUUUUUUUUUUUUUGGAAUCGGAUAGAUAACUGCGGGAAACUCCAACUAGACUAGUUAUUAGGGCCGGUUCGGUGCGGUUCCUUGUUCUCCACUGAACCCAUGCCGUAGCAGAUGAAAAAUGCUUUGAAAUUUUCUGACUUUCCGUCAAAAGGGUAAGGCCGCACCAAAUAUCUUGGCUGACAUUUUUUUAGUAAUAGACGUCGUCGUUUUCUUCUUCUUUUCAAACCCCCCACUCCCUCCAGUCACCUGCAACUCAAAAUCCCGUCCGUCUUCGAUCAUCGUCAGUCGUCGUCAUCAUUGCUGCAAAAUCAGACGGGUGAACGGACGGCGAUCUCAGCAAGAGAGCAACGACCUGCCAGGCGGAGCGGCGUCGGCGAGCAUGAAGGAUGCGAAUGCCGUCGAAGUCACCGGAGUUCCGAUCUCGGUUCUCCACCACAUUGAUCUCUCGAAUUCGGUUCAACCCAAGGAACCUGUUUAGAUUGGUUCUUUUAGUAGAAUUGGCGAUUUUAACCUUGGACUAGGAACCAAGCUGAUCUGAAGCUGGUUCUAAGUUCGUUGAAUUGGAAAUCGUAUCGAUUCUCCUUAAAAUCAACCUUAAACCAAUCGGUCUAGAUUAAUUCAGUUCGAUUCCUGGGUUGAAUUGAUCUCAAUGCUCACCCCUAUUUGUAUCAACUCAUUUUACUGUUGCUUGCAUCACAUGACACAAAGCGUUAGUUAAAGUGUAGGAAUUUGUGCAUUUUUUGUACUUUGGUAGAAUGUAAUUGAUACGCUUCAUGGAGUUCAUAUUGUUCAAAAGUCUUUUAAUUUGAGAUAAGGCCUUGCUAGUCUGCAAGAGAUAAGGCCUUGCUAGUCUGCAAGAGCAACCGAAAAUGGAAUAGUUCUCCUAGUAAAAUAUCACAAGAGUAAAUUAAAAAGGAUAAAUAUACAUGUAAAUAUAAUUUUUUUAAAAUUUUUUUAAAUUUUAAAGUCUAUUUAUUUUGCAGAAAAUGGAUAAACUAAAAAAUAUUUUUUUAAAUGAUUAAUUAUAUCGAAUGGAAUAAUUAGUCAGCAAAAAUGCUUUAAAAUUUGUGGAAAGCAUUAAGAUCUGAUGGUCGCACCGAAUAUCUUUGCUGAUUCUUUAUUCGUCCCACACCGUCGUUUUUCCUCCUUUCCUCAGCCCCGUGUCCUCCAUCACCUGCAGCUCAAAUUCCCUUCCGGCCUCGAUCAUCGUCGGUCGUCGUCAUCACCAUGAAAUCAGUCAGGCGAACGGACGGCGAGCAUGGAUGACGCGAACACCAUCGACGUUGACAGAGUUCCGACUUCUGCUCUCAACCUUAUCGACCUCUCGAGCUCCGAUAUCCGACGAUCGGUGUCCCUCCUGAAACAGGUUUUUGAUUCUCUCGCCUUUUCUGCUCUUUUCAAUUCGAUUUCCGGUACAUAAAACCGAGGAAACCGAGGUGUUUUCGAGUCGAGAGGGACGCUAACGGAUGAAUCCAUCCGUUGGCCUCCGGCGUGCUUGGAUUCCGGCUUUUUCUACGUGAUCAAUCAUGGAGUCAGCCAGGACUUGAUGGAGGAGGUGUUCGUCCAGAGCAAGCGGUUCUUCGGUUUGCCUUGUGUUAUUCUUCUUUCACAAAGAUUUAAUUGAUGGUGGUCGUGUAGUGUGCCUCGCGCCUGCGCUAUCUGACUAUUCAGUUUCAGGAGUGAAAGAUAGAAAAUGAUAAGCAAAAUGCAGUUUCUAAAAAAAUCCGUCCCAUGGUGUAUGGCUUAGGGUCUUCCCUUUCAUAGGUUGAGGUCACCUAUAAUGAUCUAAAUGAGAUGUUAUGGGGAAAUCAAAUAAUAACCUAGAGGUCAAUUGACUAGAGAAAAUCAAAUUAUAGGUCCACUGGUUCAAUUAUACAUGUAGAAAGGUGAGCAUUCCUAUAUCGCCCUUUCAUACCAAAUUCUCUCAAGUUUUGAAAACUAAAAAAUCCUUUAUUUGCAUCAAGUGUAACCAUCACAUCAUGUGACGAUCAAGAAGUUGACUGCAUCGAAGCCAUUUGUUCGUGGCGGACUUGGUGCCUCCUAGAUGCCCAUCCCACAUGAUGAGUUGCCUAAAAAUCACUUUCCAUAAAGUGUGCAAACUGCCAUUCUUCUUGACCCUUGGUAACUUUGUGUGGAAAUAUCCGCCCCAUGUGAGAUAUUCUUAAGAGAGGGUCUCCUUAAUAUUGGAUAUCCAAGAUAGGAAUGUCAUCAGUUCGGUUGAUAUCCGACCUGAACGGAAACACUACAAAACCAACCUGAGACCCAAAUGGCAUACAACCUGAGUGAUCGGGUUAGGUUUCGAAGGUUUUUUUUUUUUUUUUUGGGUUGUAAAGAUUAUGUUAAACAUAUUUUUCAUAAUUCCUUAUGGGUCUACACAUGAAAUGAAUGCAAGACAAGGAACUUGCCACAUCCGAUAAGAAUGCCAAACUUAGCCCAAUUCGUUAGCAAAUUUAAGUACAUAUUAAUUCAACAUUGUCGAGAGAAAAAUAAAAUUUCUUACAAAGAUCACAAGGGGAAGAAAUAAAGCAAAUACAAACAAUCAACAAUUCUGUCUCAAUAGCAAACAAUCUAUCUUUGCUCGACUAAGAUCAUCCUGCAAGUAAGAAAUGAAGAAGACAACAAUCAUUAAGUGCCUAAUGCAAAAUAUGAAGAAGUAAAUUCUCAACUAAGGCACAACCCAGUGUUAUUGCCUCUGCUUGUUUCAGCCGUUUUCUCUUCACUCGUUCAAUGAGUGCACUUAAAAGAAAAGCCAAAUUGUUUCAAACAAUACAUACUAGCAUUUAAGGAUAAGUAAUUUCUGCAAGAACACAUUUCACUAAAUUGGUAUUAAAUUAGAACGUGCUUCAACAACUAAUAAAACGGAAAAAUCUUGCAAUUGGCCAUAAAAUUUAUAGUUUUAGUGACAUGCCUUGCAUGAACCUAGGCCCCCCAAAAGUAGUAUGGCGUGCUUCUCAAUUCAUCAAGCUGCAAAUAAAUAUCAAGAAAUGAUAGUAUAUAAAGGUUUGAGGGCAGAGCUCAUUCUACUCAUCCAUUCUUGAAAACAAAAGAGCCGGGUCUCUCAAGAUUUCAGGUACACUUGAUGACACUGCUUGGAAAUUUUAAUUAAAGUUUUAGCUAGUUAGGGCAUUCUCUUCCGAGAGGAACUGUGCAAUAUCUCAUUGACAGAAUUUCGAGUCGUUCUCAUCAAAAUACUAACAUAAGUAUCAAUAUAGGUUAAGAAAAAAAUUUAUAAUCCAUUUUGAAAGAGAUAGCAUGGGGUAAGGCUUCUCUCAUCUCGGAUAGCAGGCGAGAUGCUUAAAUCCUUGAACCCUUAACCACUUAGCCAACUACUUCGACUCAAUUUAGGUUUGACUUGAAAGUUUCUAAUUCGACCUUAACCAGCCGGAUUUCAUUCCUUAUUAUUUAGAAGUUAGAAUCUAAUUUGCAUACCUUGAAAUCUAAAAUUUAUUUGUCAAUCGGUUUUAUAGUUUAUUUGGGAAUUGGCAAAACUUUUUUUGUUUCAUUUUUUUCUUCCUCAAUGAAGUGAACCCAAUGACACAAAUUUUCAUUUAUUAAUGUAAAAUAAAAUAAAUAAUAAAAAGUUCAAUGUAACCACAAAUUAUGGAUUCCCGAUUCUCGAUUUGGUUCUGACCGAGAAAUUGGGAAUCAAACCGCACGGUAUCAGCUCCACUUUUUCUGGCAUUGGAUCGAUAACUGUGGGAAACUCGAAUCAGAUUAGUUUUUGCGGCCGGUUCGGUGCAGUUCCCUGUUCUACGCCGAACCCACGCCGUAGGCGAUGAAAUAUGCUUUAAAAUUUGCUGGCCUUCUGUCAAAAUGAUAAUGCCGCGUCAAAUAUCUUCGCUGAGGUUUUUUUAUUAAUAGACGCCGUCGUUUUCUUCUUCUUUUCAAACCCCCCCUACUCCCUCCACCAGCUACCGACAACUCAGAAUCCCGUCACCGUCAGCCGUCGUCAUCACCGCCGCGGAAUCAGACGGGUGAACGGACGGUGAUCUCAGCAAGCGAGCAACGACCUGCCAGGCGGAGCAGCGUCGGCGAGCAUGGACGACGCGAACGCCGUCGAAGUCGCCGGAGUUCCGACCUCGACUCUCAAUCGCAUCGAUCUCUCGGGUUCUGAUAUCCGGCAGUCGGUGUCUCUGCUCAAACAGGUCCUCGAUUCUCUCCAGUCUUUCCGAUGUUCCGAUUCGAUUGCCGGUACCGGAACCAGGGAAGCUAAGGUUUUUUGAUUCGUGACGAUGCUGGCGGAUUAAUUCGACCCGUUGGCCUCAGGCGUGCUUGGAUUCUGGCUUUUUCUACGUGAUCAAUCACGGAAUCGGCUAGGAUUUAAUGGAGGAGGUCUUCGUCCAGAGCAGGUGGUUCUUCGGCUUGCCCUUGAGCGAGAAGAUGAAGCUGUUGAGGAACGAGAAGCACAGAGGCCGCACUCCUCUGUUGGAUGAGGUCCUCGAUGCUGGGAAUCAGAUUCAGGGUUUGUGUCUGAUGAUUUCAUUUGUUCCGUUUUUUCGGUGUCAGAUUACUGAAGAUUUUGCUGCUUAAGGCAGAUUUAGAUGAAUAGCUGGUGAUUUUGAUAGCUUCCUGUAAUCAGCUGGUGGCUGAGUAGCAGCUCUUAGAAAAGGAAGAUACGAUAACUUAGUUAUUAUUCUUGGAACGAGUUGUUUGAAGUGCUAACACAAAGCCAUGAGCAAUACAACAAGGAUUUAAAUGAAACUUGUCAUUAUUUAUAUGGUUAUCAUUUUCUGAAGAUCAGUAGAAUAGUAAUGAUUCCAUGGACGUUUUCUAGGAGAUUAUAAGGAGGGAUACUACAUAGGAGUGGAAGUACCAGGGGAUGAUCCUGAUGCACAGAAGCCUCAUUUUGGACCAAACCUCUGGCCUUCUGAGGGUAACCAGUUGCUUAAUAUGAUAUCUGUGCAACUUCAAACCGUUGCUGGUGAUAUGUACUUAUUUUGGUCUCAAUGUUGUGUUUUCACUAGAGAUAUUGCCAAGAUGGAGGCAGACGAUGGAGAAAUUUAUAGUCAGGCAUUGUGAGUUUUUGCUAUAGAUGAUAAAGAGCCACGGGCAUUAAAUUUUGUUGUGGGUUGCAAGAUGUGAAAGAUUAUUUCAUCUGAGUAAAAGAUAAUACGGAGAUGUUCUGUAUCUCUGAUGGAAAUUCGGGGCUUUUCCAGUACCCCAAUGGUCACCAUCUUCCCCUUCCACUUGCAUCGUAUUGUGCCAAGUUCUUCUACUGCCCCAGGAGGUUUUUUGGAUCUGGUUAUAUCUCAAGAGUAAUGCCUAGAUGAUCUGUGUGGCAAGAUCAAGUGCAAUCUGUUGAUAUAAAAAAGUGAUGGUAGUUAAUCUUGGUUAUUUUUUUAUUUGUAAAUAUGCUCAUCAGAAAUGUGGCGAAAGUAGUUGCAAGGAUCAUUGCUCUAGCACUUGAUCUGGGGGCUGAUUUUUUUGACAAGCCAGAAAUACUCAGCAAGCCUAUUCCGAUCUUGCGCUUGUUGCACCAUGAAGGUAGAUUUUAUUUCAAUGAACUACAAAAUAAAGCCAACAAUUAUUUCUUCUCAUCCUCUUGAUAUUCCUUUAGGUCUAAUCUCAGAUCCCUCUAAAGGGAUAUAUGGAGCUGGGGCACAUUCGGACUUUGGGUUUAUUACCUUGUUGGCAACAGAUGAUGUCCCGGGUCUCCAAUUAUGAAUAUUCUCCUGUAAAACUGUUCGUGCAGACUCUAUGCAUGGUUAUAAUGCAGGGAACUUUUUAAACUUAUUCGGAUUUGCAAGAACAAGGAUGCUAAACCUCAGGCGUGGAAAUAUGUGCAACCUUUGAAAGGGUAAAGCCCAACAGAAGUUGAGAUGAAUAUGUUCGAGAUCUCAUAUUUAGAGUAACUUGGACACUUUUGGUGGAAGCCACCGUGUUAGGAUUUUAAUUCUAGUGAUUUGUGGAUUACAAAUUUAACUUGGAAUAACUUUGCUUUUAAUCUUGUACUUUUGAUUUAUUGGAGCAUGCACACGAUAACAUGUUUCCCCUUAUACGCAUUAUUGGAAGAUUGCUUCAUGCCGAUGUUGAGUGGGAUACUACCCCCAGACUAGUCACAACUUUUUGACAAACAUCAUUGUCUGUCUGACCCUUAUCUGCUACUAUAGUUCUUGUUCAUAUGAAGGCAGCGAUAUGCCAGUUUAGAGAGAAAGUAUUGUUGUCAGAUGGGUGAUAAAAAUGGGUUUCAAUUUAGAAACUUAGAGAGGUGCCCUCAUCCACUUCUCCUUUCCUAUCUGUGAUUUGCAUCUGUAUAAGUAUACAUAAUAACUUUGAUCAGUUUAAUCCUUUUGAUGCCUUGAUGAUGAUCCUCCCUUCCUCCCUCCCUCCCUCCCUCCCUCUCUCUGAAACACCCUCAGACACACUCACACGAUGGUUUUCUACCAUUCUUUCCUGAUUGAUCAUGUGCAGGUCCACGGUCAUAGAACUACCAAGCAUUAUACACAUUCUACAAUUAUUAGAACCUGUCUCACGAUAUAUGUCCAGUUGCAAGAAGUUUGAGAGGGAAAAAUUUCGGGAGAGAAUAUCUCAUUGCUCAAGCAUCUUUUUUAUUCCGCAUUACUUUUCAACAGAACAUAAAAAUCUCACAAUAAUCCUGAAAAGUAACAUUCUUCCAUGGCUAUUUGGUAUAGAGCGUUCAUAGUGAAUCUUGGUGAUAUGCUAGAACGAUGGAGCAAUUGUAUUUUCAGGUAAUAUGCUUUAAUAGAAGUCUAUCCAAAUAAAUUGGCAUGGGGAAAGCUUUGAAUACGAAGGUUGGAGAUUUUCUAAAGCGAGCUACUAUAGAUUGGUAACCUGUCCCAAACUCCACCAGAAUUUCCUCUGUAACCUCUUGGCUCUUGUUGACAUUAGUAGCCCAUUAGUAGUGCAAGAGCAUCUGCUCUUGACAUUGCCUCAUUACUGGCCGAGUUGCCAUGGGGAAAAAAGUCCAAGUUAAACACAGUUGUUGAAAUGGAAUUAUAUGUUGAUGACCUACAUCACUUUCUACACAAAGUCCACUUUAUAAAUGAUAAACCAGAAAAGAGUUAUCCUAGAGUUUUUGUUAUUAUUGUUCUUAUUGGUCAACUUUUCGAUACUAAUCCUUGUAAGUGUUCUGCGAUUGCUGACCAGAGAUAAGGCUUAACAUGCAAUGUCAUCAUGCUUGAGAAUGUGUAUAGUAAUAUAGGAAAUGAGCUUUUCGCAUUAAUUUUAUAGGUGUCCUGCAAUUCUCCAUAAUUAGCAAGGUCAUUCUCUAUUAUUUUUUUUAAGAAUUUGACUUGCUGAUUUUUUGCUUCUUUUUGUCAAAUUUAUACUAAUUUAUACUUUUGUUUUGCUUUUGCAAUCAGGUCCACACUCCAUCGAGUUGUAGGGAACGGUCAAGAACGGUAUUCUGUAAGGCCUUUUGGCUCUCUCCCCACGGCUGCGCAUUUCUUGUCUUCUUUUGGAAAAUUCAGCAAAAGCCAUCAAGAGAAAUUUGAAGCUUGUCGAGUCUAUUGAAAAAAGUCCGAUUGGUUGGGGUACUAGGAAGAGUAGAGUAUAAUUGAAGCCAAUCUAAGACAGUUGUAAGCUGAUUGGAAAGUGGUACUAGGUUUGAGAUCACGGUUUAGUGGCAAGUCAGUUUUUUUUUUUUUUUUGGUCAAAAUUGGCAAGUCAGUUGAGCAGGUGAUUAAACUCUUAGGGAAUUCCUCUCAACUCGAGAUUAUCUUCAGGGAUAUCCACAUUACUUUCUGGAAAAGAAGUCUAAUUGUUUGUCUUUCCCUUGUUUGCAUAUUUCAUCCACUAACUUCUCUUUUCUUGAUGAGUUUUUUUUUUUUUUUUUGGGCUAAAAUCUCUGUUAAAAGUAUUAUUUUUGCUCAUGUUCUCACGAAAUGUAGAUUGCUUUCUUCCUGGAGCCUAACCAUGAUUGUCUCGUCCAGUGUUUGCCAACAUGUAUGUCGGAAAAAUCCUCCCCAGUAAGCUGUCUUCCGUGGAUCAGUUUCUUGUAUAUCAUCAACAUGUCGCUAUUGUAUUUCAUGAUGUCAAAUCUCGGCCCUAAGAUCUAGUUCUUCUCCUCCCUGAUUCAAAUGACUGACUUUAUGCAUUUUGUUGAGUGUCGACGCUCUGCUUUGAACGUGAAUGUCGAAGUAAAUAUUGCAUGUCCAAGGAUGAUCCAAAUUCAUAUGCUUGGACUUUUUGUUUAUGUUAAGAGGACUCCCUCUAAGUUUUAACUCCAUGUUUCAUGAAGAAAAAUGUUUAUUCUGGAACUAGGCAUUGAGCUGUACCUUAUUUGAUCAAUUGAUACCAUCGUUGCAUGCUCAGAUGGGGUUGGAACCAUUUCGCGUGGGGAUCUAGGUGUUGUAUUUAUCAUAGCUACUCCAGUUAUUAAUUUUUAUUUGUUUUUUGAUCGAGAAUUCAGUAGUUAUUAGACAUGGUGCAAAUUAAUUUCUUCAAAAUUGAUUCACGUGCAGGUUUCCUCCCAUCGUAUGUCAUGCUGAUUUAGAUGUAUACAGAAAGGAAGGGGCUUAGAUGUAUACAGAAAGGAAGGGGCUUAGAGUUUGCCUGUGAGGAGCAGGAGCCUGUCAACCAGCACUUGUCCAGUAGAGGGUAUGCUUUGAGAGCUCGUAAAGAAGUGCAUGAUGAGCUUAGAGAAGAGCGUCGAAUUGGGUACAUGCGCGUACAUACAUAUGCAUGGAAGUAAUAGUUCAGUGGCUUCAGCCGUAGUUAGGUCUUCUUGCUUCCAUGAUUUGUCUCCUAAAUUAGCAGUUUGUACAUGCAACUCUUUAAGAAAGGAAAUAAAGAGGGGACGCCUUGCACAUUUCUUGGCACCAACUUUACUGCGAUUUAACGGACGAACAGUUGCUUCUUUACCAUAGUUUCGGUCGAUUGGAUUGUACAUGCAACUUUUGGCUAUUUAGCAAUAUUUUUGGAUGAGGUAGUCGUGUCGCUAAGCCCACAAAGGAUUUGAAUAUAUGACACGGGCUAAGAAGGAGAGAGCAGGCAUUUCUGUGUGAGUGAGACUAGGAGUAGCAUUAGCAAGGGCACAAUCUGAGAUUGUGAGCCGCUUUAGCUACUACGCUGGCUGCUACUUUCCAAAAAAUCUUUCUGAUCUUUCGCAAAGGUGGAUUAGACCAGUCCGAUCUCGAAGUCCUCCCGUGACGCGCUUGACUGGCUAACGCUUCCGCUACGUUAAACCACAGGAACAAGCAUUGGAAACAGAGCAUUAGACAAAGACUUGGCUACCUCUUUUGCUCUGUCCUCAAUGUAGGUGCAAAAUCUCCCGACGCCGAGUAGAAUAAUAGUGAGUUAAAUUAGCAGUUAACUAGUUAAUUAUACUCUUCUAGCUUUCUUGUAUUCUAUAGACUUAAUAGAUUAUGCAAGAGAUUGAAAUGGAAACAUGUAGUGGAAACGGAUGUUAUGACAUUAUUGCUCCGCCUAUUACACUCAAAAUCGUGACAAUCUCGAGUAGGUCUGUUUCAGUUUUCAAAUUUUUGAUAUUGGGAACUAAAUCAAUUGGUUAUGGAACCAGUUUUUCCUGGUCCUAGUGAUUCUUGGUUCUACUUGGAAAUUAGUCUGCUUUUUAUAUUGUGUAAAAAAACAAAUUCUUCCAAUAAAGUGUAGGAGUUCCACCUUUUCACUUCAUAGCAUAUUUGGUGAAAUAGAUAUGUGGUUGUUUAUUCAUGGUGAAAACCAUAAUUCAAUUUUCGAUUCAACCUGAGGAACCUGUUUAUGUCAAUUCUUGGGUAGAAUUGGCGAUAUUGACCUUGGAACUAAGAACCAAGCCAAUCUUAGGCUGGUUCUAAGUUUGUUGAAGUGGAAAUCGUACUGAUUUUCCUUAAAUUCAACCUUAAACUAGUUAGUCUAGACUAAUUCAAUACGUUCGUGGGUUGAAUCAGUCUUGAUGCUGACCCCUUUUUGUAUUGAUGCAUUUUAUAGUUGCAUUACAUAAAAUAGAGCAUUAAGACAACGACAUCUUAUCUAAUGAAUUAAAUAAGAGAUUUUAAAAUACUAAUUGUUGAUGUCCUUCAAAAAUCUUUUCAUUUGAGAUAAGACCUUACUAGUAUGUAAGAGCAAUGGAAUAGCUCUCCUAGAACCUGUGUUUUUUUUAACCACGCAAAAAUGAAGUAUCACAAGAGUAAAUUAAAAACAAUAAACAUGCAUGUAAAUAUAAAUAUUUUAAAGGUCUUUCCAAUUUUAAGAUCCAUUUAUUUCGUAUAAUAAAUUAAAAAAUAUUUUCUUAAAAAUGAUUAGUUAUACCGAAUGGAAUAAUUAGACAGAAAAAAUGCUUUAAAAUUUAUAGAAAGCAUUAAGACGGGGAACGAGGGCAUCACCGAUGGCCGCAUGCCUUUGCCGAUUCUUUAUUCGUCAUACGCCGUCGUUUUCUCUCGUUCUUUUUCAGCCACUUCUCAUCCAUCACCUGCAACUCAAAUUCCCGUCCGGCCUCGAUCAUCGUCGGUCGUCAUCAUCACCGUGAAAUCAGUCAGGCGAACGGGACGGCGAGCAUGGAUGACGCGAACGCCGUCGACGUCGCCGGAGUUCCGGCUUCAAGUCUCAAUCUUAUCGACC